GAAAAGAAACCAACAGGGAUUACCUCAGUAACGGCGAGUGAAGCGGUAACAGCUCAAAUUUGAAAUCUGGGUCUUUCAGGCUCCGAGUUGUAAUUUGUAGAAGAUGCUUUGGGUGCGGCCCCGGUCUAAGUUCCUUGGAACAGGACGUCAUAGAGGGUGAGAAUCCCGUAUGUGAUCGGUGGCUUGCGCCCGUGUAAAGCUCUUUCGACGAGUCGGGUUGUUUGGGAAUGCAGCUCUAAAUGGGUGGUAAAUUUCAUCUAAAGCUAAAUAUUGGCCAGAGACCGAUAGCGCACAAGUAGAGUGAUCGAAAGAUGAAAAGGACUUUGGAAAGAGAGUUAAACAGUACGUGAAAUUGUUGAAAGGGAAGCGCUUGCAACCAGACUUGCGCGGGGUUGAUCAUCCGGGGUUCUCCCCGGUGCACUCGGCCUCGCUCAGGCCAGCAUCGGUUUCGGUGGUUGGAUAAAGGCCUUGGGAAUGUGACUUCUUUCGGGGAGUGUUAUAGCCCUCGGUGCAAUGCAGCCUACCGGGACCGAGGACCGCGCUUCGGCUAGGAUGCUGGCGUAAUGGUUGUAAGCGACCCGUCUUGAAACACGGACCAAGGAGUCUAACAUCUAUGCGAGUGUUUGGGUGUCAAACCCAUACGCGUAAUGAAAGUGAACGGAGGUGAGAACCCUUAAGGGUGCAUCAUCGACCGAUCCUGAUGUCUUCGGAUGGAUUUGAGUAAGAGCAUAGCUGUUGGGACCCGAAAGAUGGUGAACUAUGCCUGAAUAGGGUGAAGCCAGAGGAAACUCUGGUGGAGGCUCGCAGCGGUUCUGACGUGCAAAUCGAUCGUCAAAUUUGGGCAUAGGGGCGAAAGACUAAUCGAACCAUCUAGUAGCU
RNAcentral lists this ribosomal RNA (879 nucleotides) under Pezicula cinnamomea. Its description in RNAcentral is "LSU rRNA". It matches the Rfam family "Eukaryotic large subunit ribosomal RNA", at positions 56 to 952 of the family's 3401-position model. The record is from RNAcentral. Lineage: Eukaryota; Fungi; Ascomycota; Leotiomycetes; Helotiales; Dermateaceae.